UCUGCCCCUAGAAGCAUUAGAAGUGUGGCUGCUGUGUCAAACAUGCCUCACUAGGUGGCAGAGAGGAGAGAGGCCAUUUCUAUGCUCAGUGUUCUGACCUGUGAUUAGCAGGAUUAGUAGCCUAACACU
Molecule: small nucleolar RNA, 129 nt
Organism: Rattus norvegicus (Norway rat)
Lineage: Eukaryota; Metazoa; Chordata; Mammalia; Rodentia; Muridae
Product: small nucleolar RNA SNORA17
Source: Ensembl